Myzus persicae (green peach aphid) is the source of this 466-nucleotide long non-coding RNA. RefSeq lists it as uncharacterized. The transcript is spliced from 4 exons. The record is from RefSeq and is a predicted model, not a curated record. NCBI's taxonomy places the organism in Eukaryota, Metazoa, Arthropoda, Insecta, Hemiptera, Aphididae.
GACGCCGGAUGGGCGGGGCGUCGUGUGUCACCGCCGACGACGCGCCGUUCGCGACGACGCCCAGAAAUAAUAAUAAUAAUAACAAUAUUGUCGUCGUCGGUCGAGUUUUAGCGGGUGUACUGCAGCGGUCAUUAUACCACUUUUCCGUGGAAACGAAAUUCCGUUACGACCACGCGCUGGGUGUUGUUCGUGGUAUCCAUCAUAACUUAUAACUUAUAAGGUACUGCGAAUGCUGGCUGGCAGUAGCCAGUACGUGUACUUGCCUAUACCUAUAUAUGAAUCAAAAACUCGUUCGAUCGUCAUAGAAUUAUACUGUAGAUUCAAAUUUAAGAUAACAGCAACAGCUCAACAUUAUAAUAUAAAGAAGGAACCAUGGUAUUUUCAGAACGCCAUCUGAAGAGUUGCAGUGUACCUACAUCAUUAAUUAUUCGAAUAUUAAAAAUUAUAAUAUUAUUAUUAUUAUUAU